AUGGCUUUCAGGAAGUCAUAUGAUUAUUACAUCAUCUCCUUGAUCUGUUCUCCAGGUCAGAUCUUGUUUUUUUUCUUUUUCUUUUUUUCAGUCUUGAUUUUUUUUGUCUCAUAUGAUUUCUGUUCGGUCUCUUGUAGUUUUCAGGGAGUCCGUUUUUUGUUUUUUUUUUUUUUUUUUUUUUUUUUUUUUGGGGGGGGGGGGUUCCAAGGUGGUAUUAUCCAAGGAGAGAGGUAUGGUCGCAGCUUUUCUGGUCUGAACUCUGAUCUUUAUUCAGGAAGGAAUUUUGAUCCCCUUCAACCACAAGUGCUAGUACCCUUUUUGGCCCUGGAACUGUUCCCAGGUCUUCUGCUCUCCUGUCACUAUACAUGCUAG
Molecule: long non-coding RNA, 372 nt
Filed under: Monodelphis domestica (gray short-tailed opossum)
Lineage: Eukaryota; Metazoa; Chordata; Mammalia; Didelphimorphia; Didelphidae
Description: lncRNA (ENSMODG00000038239.1)
Source: RNAcentral